Molecule: ribosomal RNA, 576 nt
Filed under: Peptostreptococcus stomatis
Lineage: Bacteria; Bacillati; Bacillota; Clostridia; Peptostreptococcales; Peptostreptococcaceae
Description: bacterial SSU rRNA
Rfam family: Bacterial small subunit ribosomal RNA
Source: RNAcentral
AUGGGCGAAAGCCUGAUGCAGCAACGCCGCGUGAACGAUGAAGGUCUUCGGAUCGUAAAGUUCUGUUGCAGGGGAAGAUAAUGACGGUACCCUGUGAGGAAGCCCCGGCUAACUACGUGCCAGCAGCCGCGGUAAUACGUAGGGGGCUAGCGUUAUCCGGAUUUACUGGGCGUAAAGGGUGCGUAGGUGGUCCUUCAAGUCGGUGGUUAAAGGCUACGGCUCAACCGUAGUAAGCCGCCGAAACUGGAGGACUUGAGUGCAGGAGAGGAAAGUGGAAUUCCCAGUGUAGCGGUGAAAUGCGUAGAUAUUGGGAGGAACACCAGUAGCGAAGGCGGCUUUCUGGACUGCAACUGACACUGAGGCACGAAAGCGUGGGUAGCAAACAGGAUUAGAUACCCUGGUAGUCCACGCUGUAAACGAUGAGUACUAGGUGUCGGGGGUUACCCCCCUCGGUGCCGCAGCUAACGCAUUAAGUACUCCGCCUGGGGAGUACGCACGCAAGUGUGAAACUCAAAGGAAUUGACGGGGACCCGCACAAGUAGCGGAGCAUGUGGUUUAAUUGAGCACGCGAAGAAC